GACGAACGCUGGCGGCGUGCUUAACACAUGCAAGUCGAACGGUAAGACCCUUCGGGGUACACGAGUGGCGAACGGGUGAGGAACACGUGGGUGAUCUGCCCUGUACUUCGGGAUAAGCCUGGGAAACUGGGUCUAAUACCGGAUAGGACCACUGCCUGCAUGGGUGGUGGUGGAAAGCUUUUGCGGUGUGGGAUGGGCCCGCGGCCUAUCAGCUUGUUGGUGGGGUGAUGGCCUACCAAGGCGACGACGGGUAGCCGGCCUGAGAGGGUGACCGGCCACACUGGGACUGAGAUACGGCCCAGACUCCUACGGGAGGCAGCAGUGGGGAAUAUUGCACAAUGGGCGCAAGCCUGAUGCAGCGACGCCGCGUGAGGGAUGACGGCCUUCGGGUUGUAAACCUCUUUCAGCACCGACGAAGCGCAAGUGACGGUAGGUGCAGAAGAAGGACCGGCCAACUACGUGCCAGCAGCCGCGGUAA
Molecule: ribosomal RNA, 478 nt
Filed under: uncultured bacterium
Lineage: Bacteria
Description: partial 16S ribosomal RNA
Rfam family: Bacterial small subunit ribosomal RNA
Source: RNAcentral